CGUACACUCCUGCGGGAGGCAGCAGUGGGGAAUUUUGGACAAUGGGCGCAAGCCUGAUCCAGCCAUGCCGCGUGCGGGAAGAAGGCCUUCGGGUUGUAAACCGCUUUUGUCAGGGAAGAAAAGGUUCUGGCUAAUACCUGGGACUCAUGACGGUACCUGAAGAAUAAGCACCGGCUAACUACGUGCCAGCAGCCGCGGUAAUACGUAGGGUGCAAGCGUUAAUCGGAAUUACUGGGCGUAAAGCGUGCGCAGGCGGUUAUGCAAGACAGAGGUGAAAUCCCCGGGCUCAACCUGGGAACUGCCUUUGUGACUGCAUGGCUAGAGUACGGUAGAGGGGGAUGGAAUUCCGCGUGUAGCAGUGAAAUGCGUAGAUAUGCGGAGGAACACCGAUGGCGAAGGCAAUCCCCUGGACCUGUACUGACGCUCAUGCACGAAAGCGUGGGGAGCAAACAGGAUUAGAAACCCGCGUAGUCCCA
RNAcentral lists this ribosomal RNA (476 nucleotides) under uncultured organism. Its description in RNAcentral is "partial 16S ribosomal RNA". It matches the Rfam family "Bacterial small subunit ribosomal RNA", at positions 330 to 797 of the family's 1533-position model. The record is from RNAcentral.